Molecule: RNA transcript, 682 nt
Organism: Teleopsis dalmanni
Lineage: Eukaryota; Metazoa; Arthropoda; Insecta; Diptera; Diopsidae
Exons: 3
Source: RefSeq, a predicted model, not a curated record
CUUUGGUAAUGUAAAGACUUUUUUUGAGUAACUGACAGCUCAGUUUUUACUACUUAAUUUAACUCUCAACAAUGCUUUGAAUGUCAUGUAAAAUCAUCUGAAAUCUUGUUACAUAUUUCCCGCAUUUCUUUUCUCGAAAUGUGUAACUGCUUACUGAAUUACACAAUAAAAGGAAAAUUUACGAGUUUUCACCUGGGAAAGAAGUACACACGAAUGCAAGGAAUAAAAAUGCUGGCAACUUCCUCUUUAUGCAAAUCUAACGAACACGAAUGCUUUGAGUAUCUUAUUAAACUUUUCGAGAAAAGUAUGUACAAAUAUAAACAAGAAAACAUUCUCACAAGUUUAUUACUACACAAUUGAAGCACAAAUCUACUCGCAUAUUCGUUUUCAUGAAUGUUUUCAUUACUGUGAAACUACUAAUUUUUUCAGACAGUGGCGUAGUAAACAUACUCUAAGAGUCUAAAAAGAUAUAUUAGCCUACAUAGCAGCUGUCAAAACAAAACAAACGCUCAUAUUGAAGACUUAAUGGACGAAAAUGGUCCGGCUAGAGAAAAUGCUUCGGUAUAAGAAGCAGGUGACCAACGAUAUGAGGUCACUCGCUACUAUCAACUGGCUACUGACACAGCCAAAAAUGAUGCACGUAAUCUAAAAGUUAUACUGCUAGAUUAUAAUGUUAAGACUU